This is a long non-coding RNA of Columba livia (rock pigeon), 7356 nucleotides long. RefSeq lists it as uncharacterized. NCBI's taxonomy places the organism in Eukaryota, Metazoa, Chordata, Aves, Columbiformes, Columbidae. The transcript is spliced from 2 exons. The record is from RefSeq and is a predicted model, not a curated record.
ACCCCACGCAGGUGAGGCGCUUGAAGAGCCAGAGCGCUCAAGGCGCUGGGCGGGCCGGGGCUCUGCGCUCCGCUUCUCUAUUUAAACCUUUUUUUUGGUAAGGAUUUAUCUCCGCGACACCCACACCCGCGCUUUCCCGCGAGGUUUUCGCCCGUUGCCCGGGGAUUCCGAGCCCCCCGUGCUCCCCCGGGGGCGGGGGCCGAGGCGGGGCCCACCGCGGCCCGCAGGAAGCGGGGCCGAGCACCGCUCCCGCCGCCGCCCUCCCGGAGCCGGACCCGGCGCAGCGCCCCCCGGCCCGCCCGCCCCUCCUCUCUCCCGCGGGGCCCGUGAGGGGAGCGGCCGCCCCGGAUCUCGCCGCCCGCCGCAGGCCCCGACGCGGCGGGCUCCACAAAGAACGGCAGGUCCAGAAGCCCCCGGAGCUCAGGGUGCAGCAGUACCGGUGACAGCAGCGUGCAGUCGCUCCGCCAGCUUCCCAUGUUGCCACUUCUACCAUCAGCGACUCAAGCCACUGCUCAGCCAAGGUUCCAAGAGACACAGCAGUAAUGCAGCUGUGAAAGCAGCAUAUUUGCCCUCAAACUUCUCCCUCAACAUUCCUGUGACAUAUUUAAUCUUCCAGAUGACCUCCCCAAAUAUCCACCUGCCCUGCAGCAUGGACUUCACAUCCUCUGUCAGUCCAGGCUUGAAGCAACAUCUGUUUUUUCUGUGCAUAUCGCAUUGUUACUUUCCCAUUCUGAUAGAACUCUGUACUUGAUCCUCCCACGAUCCAGAUUUUGCUCAUCCACCUCUGCACAUAUCUCUCCAGAAACCACAGCAGAUUUCUGAACUUCACACUUCCCUCAGCUCUACUUUCCUUUCCCAUAAGGUAUCUUUACUUCUCCUUGCUCCUUCACCCCCAAACCCACUCACUCUCGCUCCAAACCAUCUAUUUCAUUGCUCUGAUUCAGUCCUUGCAUAUAUUAAUAACGAAUAUGGUUGUGUCUGGCCCUUUGUAUCUGUUCCUAAGGACUCACAGGUAUCUCAUUUCUGCCUGCAAGAUGCUGUGCUUGCCUAAUGACAGUCGUUUCUGGUAUGGGAGAGAAAAUUUAACUGGCAAAUUCCUUCAUACUCUACACUAUAACAGCUAUGACACUUAUUUGCAGCUUUUAAAGAAAAUCUUGUCGACUAUAUUUUUAAUACAAAUGCUAUGGAUUUAAGAAAUGGUAAAUAUUUGCUAUUUCCCAUAACAAAAAAGAAAUUCAUUGAGAAAUUCUGUGAUUUCUCUCAUAUUUCACAAUAACAAGAAUCAGUAUGAAUCAAGUUCAGCUGAAAAGCUUAUUGGUGAGGUCAUGACUAAUUUUAGAUACAUUUAGUGAGCUACAUGCCAGCCAAACUGAUCAGUGCCCAUCUAAACCUGUUCUGAUGCCAAGUAUUUGGUACUGACAGCACUAAACCCCAGUAAUUCAAGCCCCUCCUGCCUCAGUUUCCCCUACAGCAUCUUACCACUAACACUGGUUUCUAUUCUCACAUCCUCACUUGUUCAGAUUGCCAGAUCUUCCACUUUUUUUGCCACUUGCAAUAUUUUGUCACAUUUGUCCAAAAGAUAUUUACCUUUUUUUUUUCACUAGGCUGUGAUAUCGGGCAGCUUGUUUCAGCUAAGGAAUUCAAGCCAGGAUCUUUCAACUGGUAUUAUCUGAUGUUUAAAAGAGAUUUCAGGUGAUAAAGACCUGAGCUGAGCUGCAGUCUGGGCUGUUGCCUUUCCAAGGGUCAGACUGCGACACAGAAUUAUUUACCUGUGUAAAAGAGCGAGCACGAGAACUCGUCUCUGGGAAUUAAAAAUCCUGCUGAGAGACAAGCGUCACAAUACUGGUCACCAGCCCCGCUGCGCUGAUGUGGUUCAUCAUGUCACCAAAUCUCUCUGCAAUUGUUCUCUUUGAUUUCUCCCUUCCCCCAGGCAGAUGCGGCGACUCCUGGGAGGGAGCGGGUGCAGCGCUGGCGCAGAAAUCGUCAGGCAAACAAGAGCCCAGUGUCCCAGCACUCGCCGACCUGUCGUGGGCGAAGUCACAAGACGAGCUCGCUAUUGAAUUCCGGCAGAAGCAGAAAGAUGCCCAAGGGAUCCCGGAGCUACAGCUGGACAGCAAUAAAAGGCCGAUUCUGCUGCUGAGAAGGCUCGGCUGCGCGCUGAGCACUCAAAAGGAGGGCAGAAGCUGAAAACUGGAAGUUUUCAUUCGUUUCUCACACAUGCACUCCCCAAAAUCACCUGCUUUUCUUAACUUAGUCUCAGUUUACAGGGAAUAAAAUCUAUUUUCUCCACCACCAGUCCCCAGGAGUUCGCGCAAGCUCACAAUGCCACCUACUGACAGCAAGAAACAGCAACCGAGCUCUUCUGACAAUCCAGAGCAACUCAGGUUUUCCAUGAAGUAAUUUCCUCACCAUUUCCUUGUAUUUAUCAACUGUUCUGAUGGCUGAAUGCAAAUCUAAAUAUUUUCUUGUAGUCAGUAUCUUUUCAGCACCUUUUGUCUCCCAAGCGUUACUCUUUCCACUUCUGAAAUCGGGUGAAAUUUCUUUCAAAUUUUCUAAACUCUUUUCAACUACAUUUUGACCCAAAGCACCUAAUCCCUGCCAGUUAUUAGAAAGGGAGAGAUUAAUUAAGCUUUCUCCCGUCUAAUGGAAAAACAGAAUGUCUCUUCCCAAAUUCACACAUAACCAAAUUCAGAAACUUUAAUGUCAGAUAAUGCUUUUCAUACCCGUAAUAACCAAUCCCUGAGUUUGCUGGUUUAAAUUCAAUAAAUACAAAUACCUCUGCAAGAGGAGGAAACAAGUUCUGGGCCAGGGGGAUGGAAUCGGAACCGAGCCUGCGGCAGCUCUUCCAGCUUUUUGUAGCGCUUUUCUUACUCUCCAUCUGCUUUGGCCGCUUAAAAUGCACCCAAACAGUCCUCCAUGGGUGAAAAGUGUUUGUAAAAAUUAGGCCAAGGGAAUUCUAACCCAUUAUGGGACCCUCGUGCAUUAACAAGAUAUAAAUAAUGGUAAAAUAGGAUGAAUUUAGGAAGCUGAUGUAAUAUCCAGUGAGUUUUGCUGUCAGUCAUGCUGUAUUUGUCUAGAAGUGUCCGUAUUUGCAGACGGCUGUGAGAAUCAGCGUGGCACAGAGCGCUGUGCUGAGAAGUGUCACCACACACACCAACGAACUGUGUUGUCUGAGCCCCACGGGAACCUGCAGAAUCAAUUCCUCAUGUGCCUACAAAGAAAAAUAAAGGGAUUAGACGCAUUUAACAAGCUAUUGCUUUUUUGAGCGCAACGCAGAGGAUUAGUCACCAGACUGCUAUUUAACCAGCCCUUUGCUAAGGCUUGUUCUAGGAUUCGAAAUGGAAACCGAGGUGGGAUGUAGCCUUUCAAUUUACAGCAAACAGUACACAGCUCAAUACGUUUAUCUGCUGGCAUUUUAACUGGUAGCCAUUUAUAUUCUCUGUAUCUUUGUUCUUACAACAGGUUUGCCAUUGAGGAUAGGUACGGAACGCAGCACGGAAGAGAAAAGCUCUCAGAAUAUUUCACAGAUCACCAAAAAGCCACUUUUCUCCAAGACAAACAACUAUUUGGUUUCGCUAUGAUGCAAGAAGCUCUAAAACAUUUUUGGAGAAGAGCUGCAGAUACCCCAGGUGUCUGCAAGUAUCUUAAAUACAGGUGGGCAUGUGUUACAAAACCAACAGAUUUGUUAUGAGACAAAUUAGUCUUAUUUCUGAAUUUCUAGACACUACUGCAACCCUUCUGAGUAUGCAAAGUUGCUGACCACACCAAUUUUCUUGGUUUUGAACACAAAGUAACUUCAUCUUUUCCUAGACACUCCACAAUCAGAAAACCAACCAAACAAGUGGCCUCUUUAUAAAGAUGUUAUUCCUUCAAUCUUUGGGAUUUUACCCCUCAUAAAGUAGUUUUCCACUUUGCUACUCCUCUAAAGUACCUGCGUUGUAAAGACUUUUCUUAAUUUGACCAGUGCCAAUUAUAUCCUAGAAUUCCAAGUAAAUUAUCAAGGAAGAAAACUGAGGAGAGCAGCCCCACAAAGGACUAGAGGAGCACAGAGCGAGUACAAACAUGUCAGAAGGGCAGGAUGACACCUAUGAAAAGCUGGUCAGAAAAGAAAGAUGGAGGAAUACCGCAACUAGUCUUUUACUCAUCAGUUCCUGUGCUAUGGAGGUUGCAAAUCACUAAAAAAACAGGCAGGAAUUAUUAAAAGAGUGUCAGGAAUUCCCAGCGGAACUAAGAACUCACGGGUUUGUGUGUUAGGCUGUGCCACCGACAGGGCCCGACGUUUUUGCCCAAACAAGGAGCUUCCACUUCAGCCGGCUUCCUGCACUCUGCAAAGUGAUCUGCGGAACACAUUGAUGCAUCAGCAGGAUCCGGAUCAGAUGAAGACCUUUCCCAAUGGAGCAUCUUUCCUCCACAACGGUUAGCAAAAUUAAAACGGGCCCAACAGAAACGUCCCAGCAAACCCACAAGAUCAAGUCCUUUUUGUGAACUUUGCGACUUUUCCUUCCCAAUAAUGAGACAGACCCAAGGAAGACUCUCACCCAUGUGGUAUCUUGGCCCUUCUGUCCUUAACAAGGCAAAUGAUUCAUCAUUUGCCUUCAUAAUAACUCAUCAUAAUUAUUCAUAAUAAUUCAUCAUCUAGAUCCCUUCAAUUUAGCCACACAGUUAUAAUCUCUCUUCCGUCAAGUCUUCUUCCAUUUCUCCUUGUUGGCCUCCUGUUGGCACAUGCAAGAGCUCCCCGUCCAAUACUUUGAGUGCUUUCAUAUUAAUAAUAAAUGUUUUCUUGCUCACAAGUAGUAAAUGUGGCGGAAAAAUGGGAAGAUUUCACACCGCUUUUUAAUUGACCAGUCUACCCUGCCCCAAAAUUCAUCCCAGAAAAUCAUUGCCCAAAUAACGCUCAAGGGAAGAUAAAGGAGCUGAGACUCAUUAGCACAAUCUGACUUGGCAGCUACCAAGAAUGAUUUUGUGUCAGUGGGUAUGAGGUGCUUGUCUCACAGGAGUCUGACACUCCAACCACUGUAACCUUCAGGUGUGCAGGAAGUUCCCUUAUAUAUAGGGAACACGGGAAGAACGUGUUACAAACCACCAGAAAACUUUGAUUUAUAGAAAUGCCUGAUAGAGAAUAUUAAACAGGCCCUGAUAUUAACAUUAAAUAUGCCAUGUGUGGCAUCAGCUGCCAAGAGCACGACCCUCAACAAGCCAGGGCCUGCAGGGACAGUGACAAACAGACCAGCUGCCAACACUUGGAGUACAAGGGUGCAACGGCAGCAGCAGUCUGGUGAUGGUUAAUCUGCCUUUAGUCAGGCAGCAGCAGCUUUCAAAGAGGAAGACAACGUGAUCUUUAUCAGGGCCGCUAUCUUCCCCUCGUGUUCUAUCUACCGAGAGCUCCGUCUCCAGAAGACAAAUACAGAUCCAGAUCCCAAGCUCUGGAUUUCUCCCCAAAAACAACACAUAAGGAGAAUCUCACUGUGGCAGCAGCAGAGCAGGACUUGGGGGCUCUUCAGAACAACCAACGCUUCCUCGCUCCCAUCUGCUGGCCGGUGGUAGCGCCCAUGCACGGGCAAGGCAGCUCGAAAACAGCAAGAGCACCGCGGGUCGGGUUCCAUGUACAGCAGAACAAGAAGAUCCGCGGCCAAGUACUCAGGAGCCUCCACAUCGACAGCAUCAGGAAUUAACACCGCCUGCGAGUGGAAAAAGAUAGAGACAUGACUGCGAGGAGAAUCAGCACAAGGGAGGGAUGCGGGGGAAAAAAAUAUAUGAAUAUUUUGCGUGUGAUUUGGGGAUUUACGAGGCUGCUGUGGUGACCUGCUGCAGCAUCAGAAGGGAAAACUAUUUUCUUCAUUCUGUUUUCUAACACUGAGCCUGGUUUUGUGCUCAGGAAGAUCAAGUUGGAAAUUCUGCCCUUAAGCUGUUCCAAGAUAACUUUUCAAGUCCCUCUCCAAUGAGUGAUUCUUACGUUUACAGUGCAACCAUGCCUAUAGCCAAACCCAAGGGCCAUUAAUGAAACGAUGCGUAUAAGCCCAGCCACACCAGCACCUGCAAAUAUCCCAACAGCAGACGGUGCCCAGAGCCUUCAUAUCUGUAUGUUUUAACUGAAUUAAGUGCCUAAUAUUACCUUAAAGCCAUUGCCUUAGCGCAUCUCUCUACCGAAAUACUGGCAGCACAUGACACAAAACAUCCGGCAUGGGUGAUGACGGUCAAGCCAAGAGAUAUGAGAUAUCACGAAGAUGAUACUUGUGCGGCAGCUCCUUCCACAAAAAGGAAUUAACCACCUUGGUUCAACGAGCCAGAUGAAGCUCGGAGAUUACAACUUCCUGAGUGUGCUCAUCCUUCUCUGAGUAACUACCAGACGUCUUGGUGCUGGGGUCGCUACCUUUGUUACGUUGUGCUGUUGCAGCGACGCCAGCUCGUAGGGAUCCACGUAGAUUCCUGGUGGAAGCCGAAUUCUCGCCGCCACCACGCAUCCUCCUGCGUCCUCCCCCGCUGCACCGAGUUCUACCGUCACCAGCAGGUCCCUUCAAAUGAGCCACAAAAGCAAAACAUUUCUAUUCUCAAAUGUGCACAGAUUAAAUGCAAACGCGCUGCAAAUUCAGCAAACGGUUCCCUGCCGACCCACGCUGUCCUUCGCCAGGGAGGAAGGGUGGAGUUCACCCUAAUUCCACAUGCACAACCAAAAUGAAGUUUCACUUCUCUGUUGACUUCUCAGAACCACCAACGGCCUCUGUGCAGAUCUUAGAAAGGGGCCUCCUGUUCUUCCUCCACUGUGGUUCGUAAUUGUUAAUUACUCGAUCAUGCCCAGCUGUGCCUGCGGAUCACAGCUCAGUGAGAUGAUAAAACUGGGCAGGAAUUAGAAGAGAAGCUUUUCCACACAUAAAAUUACCCGGCACAUUAUUGUGAUGCAGCACCGGGGUGACACCAUACCUGUGAAACCCGUCUUUCAGCAGCUCCUGCGUGACAGUGGCAUCUGGACAAGCGGCCUGCACAUCUAAAAUAACACAGAACGAGUGAGUAACGGUGUUUACAGAACAGCAUGUGUAAUUAUCACACAACUUUAACAAGCAACAUCGUAUCAUCUGUGAACGCAUCAUCUGCAAAAGCUCCCACAGCGGAAGGGAAACAGUAUUUCAAUUCAGUACAACCAACAGCUGUUUUGUCAGUAGAACACAAAGCUCCACCUACCACAAAGGCUGAAAUAUCUUUUAUUUAUCCAGAAGAGCAACUUUCAAAAGUGUGGGUUUGUUUUUACUGAGGAGUCUGUAAUAACUCCCACUUUUUCCCACUGUAACCCCCAUUCCAGGUGCGAUUCCUCAUCUCCUGUAUAAGAUCAUCUCCCUAUAAGAGCCAGAUUUGAACAGUGAA